This 399-nucleotide ribosomal RNA is filed under the name uncultured bacterium. RNAcentral's name for it is "bacterial SSU rRNA". It matches the Rfam family "Bacterial small subunit ribosomal RNA", at positions 30 to 431 of the family's 1533-position model. The record is from RNAcentral.
AUUGAACGCUGGCGGCAUGCCUUACACAUGCAAGUCGAACGGUAACAGGUCUUCGGACGCUGACGAGUGGCGAACGGGUGAGUAAUACAUCGGAACGUGCCCAGUCGUGGGGGAUAACUACUCGAAAGAGUAGCUAAUACCGCAUACGAUCUGAGGAUGAAAGCGGGGGACCUUCGGGCCUCGCGCGAUUGGAGCGGCCGAUGGCAGAUUAGGUAGUUGGUGGGAUAAAAGCUUACCAAGCCGACGAUCUGUAGCUGGUCUGAGAGGACGACCAGCCACACUGGGACUGAGACACGGCCCAGACUCCUACGGGAGGCAGCAGUGGGGAAUUUUGGACAAUGGGCGAAAGCCUGAUCCAGCAAUGCCGCGUGCAGGAUGAAGGCCUUCGGGUCGUAAACU